Molecule: ribosomal RNA, 713 nt
Filed under: uncultured Planctomycetota bacterium
Lineage: Bacteria; Pseudomonadati; Planctomycetota
Description: bacterial SSU rRNA
Rfam family: Bacterial small subunit ribosomal RNA
Source: RNAcentral
AAGUCGAGCGAGAAACUUUUUUUCGGAAAAGUGGACAGCGGCGAAAGGGAGAGUAACGAGUAGAAACGUACCCCGAGGCUCGGAAUAGCAGAGAGAAAUUUCUGGUAAUGCCGAAUAACGUCUUCGGACCAAAGGUUUACCACCUGGGGAGCGGUCUGCUUUCUAUUAGCUUGUUGGUGAGGUAAUGGCUCACCAAGGCGAAGAUGGAUACCGGGCGUGAGAGCGUGACCCGGCUCACUGGGACUGAGACACUGCCCAGACACCUACGGGUGGCUGCAGUCGAGAAUCUUCCGCAAUGGACGAAAGUCUGACGGAGCGACGCCGCGUGCUGGAUGAAGGCCUUCGGGUUGUAAACAGCUGUCAUAGGGGAGGAAAUUUUGACCGAUCCUAAGAGGAAGCACAGGCUAAGUUCGUGCCAGCAGCCGCGGUAACACGAACUGUGCGAACGUUAUUCGGAAUCACUGGGCUUAAAGGGUGCGUAGGCGGUCUUGUAGGUCAGAUGUGAAAUCCCACGGCUCAACCGUGGAAUUGCGUUUGAAACCACAAGACUUGAGUAAGAUAGAGGUAAGCGGAACUGAUGGUGGAGCGGUGAAAUGCGUUGAUAUCAUCAGGAACACCGGUGGCGAAAGCGGCUUACUGGGUCUUUACUGACGCUGAGGCACGAAAGCUAGGGGAGCGAACGGGAUUAGAUACCCCGGUAGUCCUAGCUGUAA